This 212-nucleotide unclassified non-coding RNA is filed under the name Hevea brasiliensis (rubber tree). The record is from RNAcentral. Lineage: Eukaryota; Viridiplantae; Streptophyta; Magnoliopsida; Malpighiales; Euphorbiaceae.
CCACCACUGCAUGCUGCAAAGCAGAAGACAAAGUGGCCGUUGGUCUUGAAAUUGGAAGUUGUACCUUAUUUGAAGAAGCCAUCAAUAAAGAAAUUCUGCAGUCCCAAGUUGUUACAAAGUGGCAGCAAUUUGAAGUUCAUCCAUGGCCAAGAGGUGCAUUCAUUAUUGUACACAUGAAAAUCCUUGCAAUCAGCAGCUUCUCCAGGCAAGGG